GACGAACGCUGGCGGCGUGCUUAACACAUGCAAGUCGAGCGGUAAGGCCACUUCGGUGGUACACGAGCGGCGAACGGGUGAGUAACACGUGAGUAAUCUGCCCUUCACUCUGGGAUAAGCCUCGGAAACGGGGUCUAAUACCGGAUAUGACCACUCUUCGCAUGUUGGGUGGUGGAAAGUUUUUCGGUGGAGGAUGUGCUCGCGGCCUAUCAGCUUGUUGGUGGGGUAAUGGCCUACCAAGGCUUCGACGGGUAGCCGGCCUGAGAGGGUGACCGGCCACACUGGGACUGAGACACGGCCCAGACUCCUACGGGAGGCAGCAGUGGGGAAUAUUGGACAAUGGGCGGAAGCCUGAUCCAGCAACGCCGCGUGAGGGAUGACGGCCUUCGGGUUGUAAACCUCUUUCAGCGCCGACGAAGCGAAAGUGACGGUAGGCGCAGAAGAAGCACCGGCCAACUACGUGCCAGCAGCCGCCGUAAAAC
This 482-nucleotide ribosomal RNA is filed under the name uncultured bacterium. Its description in RNAcentral is "bacterial SSU rRNA". It matches the Rfam family "Bacterial small subunit ribosomal RNA", at positions 28 to 526 of the family's 1533-position model. The record is from RNAcentral.